GACGAACGCUGGCGGCGUGCCUAAUACAUGCAAGUCGAACGCAGGGGGGACGGGUGAGUAACACGUGGGUAACCUCCCAUCAGAGUGGAGAACACUUGGAAAAAGGUGCUAAACCCAUGCUGAUGGAUGUACCCGUGGGGCAUUAGCUAGUUGGUGAGGUAACGGCUCACCAAGGCCACGAUGCAUAGCGGGCCUGAGAGGGUGAUCGGCCACACUGGGACUGAGACACGGCCCAGACUCCUACGGGAGGCAGCAGUAGGGAAUCUUCGGCAAUGGGCGAAAGUCUGACAGAGCAAGGCCGCGUGAGUGAAGAAGGUUUUCGGAUCGUAAAACUCUGUCGUUGGAGAAGCGUUACCUAACCAGAAAGCCACGGCUAACUACGUGCCAGCAGCCGCGGUAAUUC
RNAcentral lists this ribosomal RNA (403 nucleotides) under uncultured bacterium. Its description in RNAcentral is "partial 16S ribosomal RNA". It matches the Rfam family "Bacterial small subunit ribosomal RNA", at positions 28 to 526 of the family's 1533-position model. The record is from RNAcentral.